This 45-nucleotide non-coding RNA is filed under the name Schistosoma curassoni. Lineage: Eukaryota; Metazoa; Platyhelminthes; Trematoda; Strigeidida; Schistosomatidae. The record is from RNAcentral.
GCCCAGCUGACGAGUCCAAAACAGGACGGAACGCGAGUUCUGUAU